This 467-nucleotide ribosomal RNA is filed under the name uncultured bacterium. RNAcentral describes it as "partial 16S ribosomal RNA". It matches the Rfam family "Bacterial small subunit ribosomal RNA", at positions 28 to 506 of the family's 1533-position model. The record is from RNAcentral.
GACGAACGCUGGCGGCGUGCUUAACACAUGCAAGUCGAACGGAAAGGCCCUGCUUUUGUGGGGUGCUCGAGUGGCGAACGGGUGAGUAACACGUGAGUAACCUGCCCUUGACUUUGGGAUAACUUCAGGAAACUGGGGCUAAUACCGGAUAGGAGCUCCUGCUGCAUGGUGGGGGUUGGAAAGUUUCGGCGGUUGGGGAUGGACUCGCGGCUUAUCAGCUUGUUGGUGGGGUAGUGGCUUACCAAGGCUUUGACGGGUAGCCGGCCUGAGAGGGUGACCGGCCAAAUUGGGACUGAGAUACGGCCCAGACUCCUACGGGAGGCAGCAGUGGGGAAUAUGGCACAAUGGGCGGAAGCCUGAUGCAGCAACGCCGCGUGCGGGAUGACGGCCUUCGGGUUGUAAACCGCUUUCGCCUGUGACGAAGCGUGAGUGACGGUAAUGGGUAAAGAAGCACCGGCUAACUACGU